GAGGGUAUAGCUCAAGUAGUGGAGCAUAUGCUUAGCAUGCACAAGGUCUUGGGUUCAACUCCCAGUAUCUCCU
RNAcentral lists this transfer RNA (73 nucleotides) under Camelus bactrianus (Bactrian camel). It matches the Rfam family "tRNA". From Rfam's summary of the family: Transfer RNA (tRNA) molecules are approximately 80 nucleotides in length. Their secondary structure includes four short double-helical elements and three loops (D, anti-codon, and T loops). Lineage: Eukaryota; Metazoa; Chordata; Mammalia; Artiodactyla; Camelidae. The record is from Rfam by way of RNAcentral. RNAcentral also lists the same sequence under 2 other names.